GAUGAACGCUGGCGGCGUGCCUAAUACAUGCAAGUCGAGCGAACAGACGAGGAGCUUGCUCCUUUGACGUUAGCGGCGGACGGGUGAGUAACACGUGGGUAACCUACCUAUAAGACUGGGAUAAUUUCGGGAAACCGGAGCUAAUACCGGAUAAUAUUUCGAACCGCAUGGCUCGAUAGUGAAAGAUGGCUCUGCUAUCACUUAUAGAUGGACCUGCGCCGUAUUAGCUAGUUGGUAAGGUAACGGCUUACCAAGGCAACGAUACGUAGCCGACCUGAGAGGGUGAUCGGCCACACUGGAACUGAGACACGGUCCAGACUCCUACGGGAGGCAGCAGUAGGGAAUCUUCCGCAAUGGGCGAAAGCCUGACUGAGCAACGCCGCGUGAGUGAUGAAGGUCUUCGGAUCGUAAAACUCUGUUAUUAGGGAAGAACAAACGUGUAAGUAACUGUGCACGUCUUGACGGUACCUAAUCAGAAAGCCACGGCUAACUACGUGCCAGCCGCCGCAGUAA
RNAcentral lists this ribosomal RNA (513 nucleotides) under uncultured bacterium. Its description in RNAcentral is "partial 16S ribosomal RNA". It matches the Rfam family "Bacterial small subunit ribosomal RNA", at positions 28 to 523 of the family's 1533-position model. The record is from RNAcentral.